AUGAUUCAUCCAAUAAGGAGUAGGAAGGAGUAGAUGUGGUGGCCCUACUUUUUACCAGAUGAUUAAAUUUAUUGUUUUACAAUAGUUAACCUUCAACAAUGUUAUUGUUAUUAUAUUUCAGUAAUUAGCGAAUUUGGCGAUUAUAAAUGUAUUAUGGUGUAGUGUAGUGUAGAGUGUUUUGCAAUGUGUUUUAACCUACAUUUACAUUAAUUUAUACAAACAUGGACAUCAGGGACAUACCAUCCACGUCUUCCUGUGAUCCUUUAUUUGAAGAUGAAAUUGAUCAGAGGACAAUACCACCCCCCAAAGUCAAGAGAUUCACGAAUGUUAUGUCCAUUAACAAUGCAGACAGUGACAGUGAAGAGGACACCCGUGAAAUUGUUGUUAAUUACACAGGAAGUUGCCCUCUUAUAUCGUCACAACGUAGAAGAGUCGAAACUAGUAAAGAAAAAGUACAAACUGGAAGUCUUAACGUUUUAUCAGCUAAGUAUGAGAGUUUGGAUUACGACACCUGCGAAAACCACCUACUUUUAGACGAAGAAAGAAAAAAGGGUUACAAAUUUAUAGUACAAAAAAGUAUAGCGAGGUGGUUUAUAUUUUUAUUGAUAGGAAUGUGCACAGCCCUAAUAGCUUGUGUCAUAGAUAUAUCCAUAGAAGAAUUAUCAACUAUUAAAUAUGCAUCUUUAAGCAAAAGUGUCGAUAAAUACGUCACCGAAGGUGAACUAUACAAGCCCUACGGGCUAUGGAUCCUCUACAAUAUCGUACCAGUCCUGAUAGGCUCGAUUUUGGUAGCCUACGGGGAACCCAUAGCUGCUGGCAGUGGGAUACCGCAAGUGAAGUGCUACCUCAACGGUGUGAUGGUGCCUAGAGUGGUACGGGUGAAGACUUUGGUGGUCAAAAGCAUCGGCGUCAUAUGUUCUGUGGUUGGAGGACUAGCUGGAGGAAAGGAAGGCCCAAUGAUCCAUUCCGGUGCUGUGGUAGCUGCUGGUAUCUCGCAGGGGAAAACGAGUACCUUUAAUAAAGACUUCAAAGUCUUUAAAUACUUUCGAGAGGACCACGAAAAAAGAGAUUUCGUAUCAGGCGGUGCAGCUGCUGGUGUAUCAGCUGCCUUUGGAGCUCCAGUCGGUGGAGUAUUAUUUAGUUUGGAGGAAGGAACCAGUUUUUGGAACCAGAGUUUGACGUGGAGGACCUUUUUCGCUUCAGUCGUUUCCACGUUUACGCUUAACGUGGUCCUUUCGGCUUACCACGGAGCGCCAGGCAAUUUCAAUUAUCCAGGAUUGUUAAAUUUAGGAAAGUUCGAGGCUUUUAGUUACGAAUAUUACGAAUUACCUAUCUUUCUGAUCAUGGGCUCCUUGGGCGGCUUAUUCGGGGCCUUAUGGAAUCAUAUCAACUAUAAAAUUACUGUGUUUCGAAUGAGAUAUAUUCGUCCUAGAUGGAUGAAAGUAAUCGAAGCUUGCAUUGUUGCCGCUGUUAGUGCCACUGUAGGAUUUUUAAUGAUGUUCACCAUCAACGACUGCAAACCUUUGGGCUCAGAUCCCACGAGAUAUCCCACACAGUUAUACUGUCUAGACGGCCAAUACAACGUCCUGGCCAGUAUUUGGUUCCAAACACCGGAAGCCUCCGUCCGGUCUUUAUUCCACGAUCCACCAAAUACACAUAACGCAAUUUCGCUAGCCUCAUUUGUAAUCAUAUACUUUUUCCUCGCCUGCUGGACAUUCGGAUUGUCCACUUCCAACGGACUCUUCAUUCCGACCUUACUUACGGGAGCAGCAUGGGGAAGGUUGGUUUCCAUUGGAAUCUAUUACGUAUUUCCGAACGUGGGUCUCAUUCAUCCAGGAAAAUAUGCCUUAAUCGGCGCAGCAGCUCAAUUAGGCGGUGUGGUACGAAUGACCAUCAGCUUGACUGUGAUAAUAAUGGAGACUACCGGAAACAUUUCUUUUGCUCUUCCACUUAUAAUCACUCUCAUUGCUGCUAAGUGGACGGGAGAUUUUUUCAAUGAGGGCAUUUACGACAUACUUAUCCAACUGUGGGGUAUUCCCCUUCUACCGUGGGAACCCCCACCGCUCGUUCAUAAUAUAUACGCCAGUGAAGUCAUGUCACAUCCAGUAGUAACAUUAAAAUGUGUCGAAAAUGUCGGGCACGUCGUCGAAUUGUUAAAAUUGACCACUUACAACGGAUUUCCUGUUGUGGAUCCACCUUUAACAGACCAGAAUGAAGUAACCACGUACGGACGUAUCAGAGGAAUAAUUCUUAGGUCUCAGUUGGUGGUGAUCUUGCAGAAGAAAAUUUUUAACGAAACAGUUGAUGUUUGGUACAAUAUUAACCCAUCCUUGUUUCGAGAUUCUUAUCCGAGGUACCCAACCAUAGAGGAUUUAGAAUUAACUGACGACGAAAAAACAUGUUCGAUGGAUCUUAGGCCGUUUAUGAACCCAUCUCCUUACACAGUUUUACAUUCUUCCUCGCUGCCAAGGAUGUUCAGGCUGUUUAGAGGUCUUGGACUGCGCCAUUUGCCAAUUGUCAAUGAUACAAAUGAGGUGGUUGGUAUGGUGACCAGGAAAGAUUUAGCUCGAUACCGAGUAUGGAGGCAUAGGGGCCACAUGGGGGUAGAAGAAUUGUUUAUUUCCAAAGAGGUUUAGAUUUAAAGGCUGUUGAAUCUUAUGAAGUAUUAACAGAACAAUAGGAAAUUCUAUUUUUAUAUUGAGAUGUAUCUAUUUUUAGCUUUUCAACCAGCGACUUUCCAAAGAAGUGAUGGUCAGAUGUGCAUAUUAUUUAUAUAGGAAGAUUUUUUUUACGUUACAGUGAUAUACAAUUGCGAUGAGAUUUAUAUGAAAUGAACAGUGGGUUUUUAUAUAAAAUAAGUAUGACAAUACUUGGAUUAACACGUUGGCUGCCGUAAGACACAAAUGUUGUAUCUAAUGUUGUUGUUGAUAACAGCCGCGUGACACACCGUAGUUGUCUCAAAAGCAUAGAAACGGGCAAUUCAUAUGCAUAAUAUUAUGGCAGCCAAUGUGUUAAUCUUAAUUAAGGGAUCUUAAAACUAUUAAGUAUACCGUGACAAUUUUGUUUAUUUUUAUGUCUUUUUAAUAUUGUUUCAGAUUUUGAUAAAAUAAUACCAGACAAUAAAUGCAUACACAUUAUGUCAAUACGUACAAACAACUCAUUUUUAUACAUGACUAACAAAUUUUACCAUAAUUUUCUCAUGCAAGCUUUACGAACCUACCACAUUUAAGCCUGGAUCCCGCGUACCAAAAAAAGUUGAUUAAUAGCAAACUGAAAAUUUGUUAAUAGCUUAACGGUGUCUAGACGUACAAAGAAAAAAUGUUUGUCCGACAAAUAUGUUGGGCAUUUUACUAAGUCCGACACGUAGAACAUGCCAAACGACAGGAUUUAUGUUGGUGGUAAAUACCAGUCUUAUUUUUGCAUGAGAGUUUGAUGAAAGGGUAGCAAAUCAAUUGGAAGUUCUGUCCGACAAAAUACAGGGGAUGUUUUUGUAGUCUGAAGUUCGAAACCUGUAACCUGUUCCAGUGUUCCCGUACAUCAAGGUUUAUCCGACUAGACACCGUUAAGCUAUUAACAAAUUUUCAGCUUGCUAUUAAUCAACUUUUUUUUGGUACGCGCGAUCCAGGCCUAUUAUCAACAAAUGUUUCUUCACCUCGUUAGUAUAGUACGUCUUUUAAAAAGUAUGUGGAAAUUUUAGAAAUGUUUCCUAUAUCUGGAGGUUCGACAUUACAGGGUGAUUCAUUAAGAAUUUCCAAUCUCUGAGUUGUAAAUUCUAACCUCAAUAUAUUAAGAUUUAACCCAAAUUGCUUAGAUAAAAUAUGCCUCGUUACUAAGUUACAGGGUGUUUUAUUUAAAAAUUUAAUAAGUAUUUUUACCCAGUACUUUAAAACUAUUUGACAUAUCCUUGUCAUACUUUUCAGAAAGUGUAGUUACCGUACACCCUACUAAAUUAUGAUAAUCAAACGUUUCUGGCUACUACCAGAGGAGUACGACAGGGGACAGUGAAUGGUUUACCCUUCCCAAAUUCUACGCCACUGGCGAAAUUGCUAUUUUGGCACAAUAUUCUACAAUACUUUCUAGAUAAAUAAUUUCCUCUUUAUUCGUAACGAUAAAGUCAUUAGUUUUCGAGAUAUUUGAACUUGAAAAUGAAACGGCAGAGCCAUUUUGAUUAAUGUAUUGUGCCCCUUCACUUUUAACUUCAAAUAUCUCGAAAACUAAUGAUUUUAUCGGUACGAAUGAAGAGUAUAUUAUUUACAUAGAAAGUAUUGUAGAAUCUAAAAAUUAUGCUAAAAUAGCAAUUCUAUCAGUGGUGUAGAAUUUGGGAAGGGUCAACCAUUCACUUUCCUCCGUACGCCUCUGGUAGUAGACAGAAAUGUUUAUUUAACAUAUUAAUAGGAUUUAUUUAGCUUUUUAGCUAUUACAUUACAAAUAAACAUUUACAUAUAUUUAAAUAACUAUAACUUAAAAACGAAAAAUCAACUAAUUCUUAAAAUACAAUUUUUUUAACCUACUUUUGAAGACUUUAACAUUUGGUGAAUCUUUUAUGCUAGAUGGUAGACUGUUAUAUAUUCUUAGUCCUUCAACAAAAAGAGUUUUUUCCAUGGCACUUGUAUUGAACCUUUUAAUAUGAUAAUUAUCAAAUCUUAAAUUAUACUGACCUAACAAAAGUGAUCUUUUAAUGACAUAAUUAUUGAAGUAUUGAGGAGCUUGCUUGUUAAUAAUUUUAAAUAUUAACACCAAACAUGACUCAGUAAUAAGCUGAUUAACAUCUAAAAAAUUUAAUGUUUCCAGCAUAAAGUUUAUAGAGGUAUACUUGCUACAUCCAAGGACGAUUCUCAUAGCUUUAUUUUGAAGCAACUGCAAACGAUAUACCUGUUCAUUUGAACAUGAAAUAAACAGUGACAUACAAUAAUUAAAAUGCGGAAAUAUUAUUGUAUUAUACACAACCUUCCUAGACCAUCGGGAAAGCCCUUUAGAUAUUCUAGAGAAGUAACCGAUUUUUUUACCAAUUUUUUUACACAGAAAAUUUAUAUGUUUGGUAAAAUUUAACUGUGGAUCAAAUAAAAUUCCAAGAUAUUUAAUUUCAUCUACAUAGCUUAUUAUAUCUUCACCUAUUUUAAUACUAAAAUUUCCUUGAUUAAAUUUAGAACAAUUUAUCUUAGUACCCAAAAUCAUACACUUAGUUUUUUGAGCAUUUAGUUUCAAUUUAUUUGCCAUCAACCAAUUAUUAAGAAUAUCUAAUUCAUCAUUUAUUGUUUGAACUAAAUUAUUAAAAUCUUGUCCAGAGACAAAUUAAUUAUCAUCUGCAAACAGAUUUACAAAUGAAUGUUUAAGAUAGAGAUGUAGAUCAUUUAUAUAUAAAACAAAUAAUAAUGGUCCAAGAACGCUUCCUUGGGGAACUCCAUAUAUAGUACCUAUUUCGUCUGAAAUAUUAUUAUUUACUUUAGUUUUUUGACAUCUACCGUUUAGAUAAUUUUCUAGCCAUUAACAUAUAUUAAUUGCGUGUGCAGUAGCUACACUUUUUGGCAAGUAUGAUAAAGGUAUUUAAAUUACUUUUAAGGUACUGAGUAUAAAUAAUUUUUAAAUCAAACAUCGCUAUUACAUAAAUAUUAACUAUUUGUAUCUAGUACUUUAAAAGUAUUUGACAUAUCCUUAUCAUACUUAGCAGAGAGUGUAGGUACUGUACACCUUACUAAACACUGUUAAAUAAACCUUUCUGGAUACUACCAGUGGCGCACGACAGGUGAAAGUGAAUGGUUGACCCUUCCCACAUUCUACGCCACUGGCGGAAUUACUAUUAGUGCAUUUUUUCGAUUCUCCCAUACUUUCUAUGUAAAUAAUAUACUCUUCAUUCGUACCGAUAAAAUCAUUAGUUUUCGAGAUAUUUGAAGUUAAAAAUGAAGGGGUACAAUACAUUAAUCAAAAUAGCUCUGUCGUUUCAUUUUCAACUUCAAAUAUCUCGAAAACUAAUGACUUUAUCGUUAAGAAUAAAUAGUGUAUUAUUUACAUAGAAAUUAUUGGAGAAUCGAAAUAUUGCGCUAAAAUAGCAAUUCCGCCAGUGGCGUAGAAUUUGGGAAGGGUAAACCAUUCACUGUCCCCUGCCGUACGCCCGAAACGUUGAUUUAACAUAAUUUAGUAGUAUGUACAGUACAAAAAUUUUCUGCCAAUUAUGACAAGGAUAUGUCAAACAGUUUUAAAGCACUGGGUAAAAAUAGUUAUUAAAUUUUUAAAUAAAACACCCUGUAACUCUGUAACGAGCCACAUUUUAUUUAAGUGAUUUGGGUUAAAUCUUAAUAUUUUUAGAAUAUACAUCUCAUGGACAUUCUUAAUGAAUCACCCUAUUUAUGUUGUCGUGAUACUAUUGAUGAACGAUAUUUUCUAAAAUACUUCUUUUUGUCUCCGAAUGAUGUCAUCUUCAGUGACAACUGAUAGCAGGAGUAGGUUCAUCAGAACGUUAGCUCACUGAACAGAUGUCUUCACACAGUGUUUUGGCAGUUGGAUAUGCAGGAACCAAGAAGAAGCUCCGAAAGAAGAUGUUAGACCACUGAGCUGAUUUCGUCAUACAGUCAUUUGUAGGAAGCUGCCAAAAAGAUUGGUAAAGAUAAUUUUACGGCAAAUAUUGAAAAUAUUCUUUAAACUCUCACAUUUUUGUCUCCAAAUUUCCUCUUCGGUGACAAUUGACAGCAGUAGUAGUUUCUGCGAGACGUUAGCUCACUGAGUUGAUCUCUGAACUGUACACUCUUGUACAGUUUUUUAGCAGUUGGAUGGAUAUUAACCCAUUAUCGCCGAGAAAAUUUUUUUGUUUUCGACAAAAUUUAUUAAAAAUCGUUAAAUGUAACAGUAUUCUGUACAAAACGUAACAAGAAUUUUUUUUGUAAAUAAAAUAAUUAUUGAGAAAAAAACUGUUCCCAUAUGGGACUACCAGGCGCGAACCCGAUAGAUGUUCGUUAAGAGUUACUUGGUAAGAAAAUUGCGAACAGUCAAUACAAAGGACCACGUCAUAUUUGCAGCACAUUGUUCCCCCUCAACUUAAAAAUCCAAUCCGUGCGCAUCUUCUUCUUUUGUUUUCUGGUACAGAAACCACAAAAUAUUUAAUCUCUCGUACCAAAUAUCUCCAAUUCGAUAGUCACUUCUUGCAGCUGUGGACACCCUUCCUGGUGGUUUUGGUGGGAUUUUAUAUCUUAUUAGAUACAUUUGGAUAAUUGCCCGUGUAAAUUACAAUUGGCUAAUGGUACGACCAGAUUUCCUAUACAACUUCCAUGCAUUUUUAAUGUUCGCGUCCAGUAGGUAUGUAAAAUAGGCCAAUACCAUUUUUUGGAACGGAUUCCAAUUCGAUAGCAAGAUAAAUCGCUAACCAUCAAAUCAGUGCCACCCAUAUUAUUAUUCUAUUUUGAAAUAAUAUUUUAGACCUCGGAACAACAAUGUUUUUUAACCUGCCUUAAAAACUUUUUAACAGGUCUAGUUGGUGUAAUCUAAAAAGUUCUAACCAGCAUACUUUGAGUUAUCAGACUCUGGAAAAUCAUAUACUGUAGAAACCAAAUCCCUUUCUUAGCAAAAAUUUGCAUUUUGCUGCAGCGUGAACAUAAUUAGACCUCUAUCAGUUGGCGCAAGUGGAAUUGCUCUGCUAGUACGUGGUGGAUUCUUCUACGAUCGUGUCUUAAGCAAUGCUUUCGAUUCUAGUAUCAUUCGAAAAACAAUUUCCGCACCCGAAGACAGCUGGUUACGAUUUCGACUAUCAGUAAAACUUGCGUCAUCUUCAUCUGCCGAAUCUUCGUCUGUCAAAAUGUUUGGAGAUUCUAUGUAAACGGCAGAAACAUCUUUAUUACUUUCGUUUUCCUCGAAAGCUAUAUCAAGAUCUUAUUUCAAAGAAAUUCCUCAAAAAUAAGAAAAGUAAAAAAGAAUAGUGAAAACAACAUAUUCAGUAAACCGCCUAGCGGUUCCAUUUGGAAACACCCAUAUUUUUGGCCUAAUUACGAAAAAACCAAAAGAUGAAAUAUCAUGAAAACCCGUACAAGGUAUUUAUUAAAGUUUGUAGAAAAUCUUUUGAAAAUAAAAACGAGGAUCCUAGUGCAAAAAGUAAUAAAUAAAAUACACGAAACGAAUGACCAUAUUUUGCCACAAACAAAACGAACCGUAAAUUAAAAAAUUUAUUACACUGGAAAAUAGGUAUAAAACUAAAUUUGAAUUGCUCAUUCAAGAAGAGGUAACCUUGAACUACAAAUAGGCCGAAUCUCUCUGCGAAAUUUUACCUAACAAUAUGGUAAAUAGUUGGGUAAAUAGUUAAUGGGUUAAGCUACCAAAAAGGAUUGGGAAAGAUAAUUUUAUGGCAAAUGUUGAAAGUAGUCUUCGAAAUGUCACAUUUUGUCUUCAAAUUUCCUCUUCGGUGUCAACUGACAGCAAGAAUAAAUCCCACAGAAUGCUAGCUCACUGAGCUGAUAUCCUCAUACAGUUUUUUUGGCAGUUGGAUAUGCAGAAAUCAAGAGGAAGCUUUAAAAAAAAUAUGUUAACUCACUGAGCUGAGUAUUUCACUUCGGUUAACACUGACAGCAAUAGUAGUCUCAACCAGACGUUAGCUAACUGAGCUGAUGUCCUCAUGCAGUGCUUUAGCAGUUAAUUGCACACCAAUGCUAUUUAUAAUUUCCAUAAAUAUAUUCUCCCUAAUAGUAUGAAUAAGAACAAAGUUCCACCUACUUUCUAGGCUAUAUUAUAUUGUUUAGGUUUGAUGUAUAUUUUCCUUAAAUGAGUUACUGUUACCAUACGUAUUUAGGUAUGAUAAUUUUGUGAUAUUUUAGUUAAGCCUCAAUUUUUUUAGACAAAUUUAAAUUUUAAAGGUCAUUUAAUGUAUUUAGUGAUUUUUUUGUGUCCCCUUAGCUGGAUUGUAGAAGUUUCGCUACAGAUUAAAAGUUCACAUUUUAUUUCUAUUAUCUAUAAAAACAGUUCUCGAAUAUUUUAUUUAGUUAUAGGUAUUUUGUGGUGCCCCUGUAGCUAAAAUGGUAUGAGUUUGGCUAAUAAUUCAAAUGGUCUAUUAUUGUUAUAGUUACGUACAUGGAAUUAGUAGAAAGAAAAUACUUAACAAUUUAAAAAAUUCGUCUUUCUUCUUUUUUUCCUAUUAAAUUUGCCCCAUACCUAAAGAAGAUAUCUGCCUCUGACAUCUCUGAAAGUUUUUUACUAUUAUUUUUACGCUUUUAACAGAAUUUUUUUUAUUUUUUAAGUUAUAACCUGGUUACUUAUUUUUUAUGGUCACCUUGUACCUGAACUAAAUACAUUAAAUGAUUCUAUGAAAACCGAAUUAUACUAUGUAUUUACGUUUUUCCUAUAUCAGUCACCAACGGUUUAAAAACGGUAAAUUUGUUACAGAUCAAAUGUAAAUUUACACGGUUUGAUUAUACGAGGGUGGUCUGAUUAAUUUUUUCGUGGAACUUACAAUACAUAUAACCACGCUGUUUUUUUGGCUUCACAUUUAUGACAGACGUUAUGUGUUGGAUAACGUAUGUUAAAACCGCAAGAAAAUUGUUCUAAUGUAACCCUACUUUUACGUCAAACCACCUCGUAUAUGCUUACCAUAGACAUAUAUAAUACCUAGACUGCCCACUGCAAUUUAAAAUUGUUCCCCCAGUGGGAUGGAGAAAAAUGACUGCAAACAGUGUAUGCAUCUCUUUCUGAUUGGCGGGCUUUAUCAAAUCGGCGGCAGUGAGAAAGUCACGUAGUCGAUAAACCCAACGUCAUUGGAUAAACUCCGUCGAUUAGAAAGAGAUGCCUACCCUAGGUAUAACAUUUUCCCCCGUCGCGGUCGCACUGAGGGAACAGUUUUAGUUUGCAGCGCGAUGCCUAGGUACCUACAUAUUAAGUUUGUUCUAUAGUUGAUUUUUUAACCAAGAGGAGUAAACUAAAAAGACAGAUUCACACCCAAGAAAGUUACUAGAAAAGUCACCAAAUUCAUCUUCUUUUUUCGUUGAUCAUAUCAGCUUUCGAUGAUAAUCCAUACAUCUUAUUGGGACCGUGCAAGCUCGGCAAAGCGACCUCUAUUUCUACGCUCUGUACUUUUAUUCGCACUUUUAAUUAUAUUGGCCAAUUAUAUUAGUCCUGGUUGCUGGAUAAUUGUCAAGGCCAUAGUCCAAAAAAAUAAUAAGAAGAAAAAAUAAGAUGCAGGUUAUGUUAUGCAAACGUAAACAAUUGUAUGUAGUAAAUAAAAUUAGUUAUUAAAAUACAGUACUGCAAGCAAAAAUACAAUUGAUUAAAUUUACCUUUAUAUAAUAAUUGCAUAUCAUAUCAAUAUUGUGGAGCAAUAUAUAAUUUUUCUGCUUCAAUGACAGAAGGUAUGAAAUAUACGUCAAUUUGACAAUUUCAAUUGACAAUAUGAAUUAUUUAAGAUAGUUUCAAUAUUUCUCCGCGACUCGCGCACGGUCGUUUCUCGUUUCCCUUCCAAGUACUUGCACACCGCGAAUAUUAUACUAACACAUCGCUAAAGAGUUCUAAAAACAACUGUUUUUAUAUAAAAGUAGACUAAAAAUCUAAAAAUUAAAGGAAUAAUGCAGAAAACACAAAAAAUCGUCGAUAUACUUAAUUAACCUAUAAAAUGACAGAAGUGCCAAAAUUUCAUAAAUGUCAUUAGUGUCAAAAUUUAAUAACAGUGAAGUAAACUUGCCUGCGGUUGGACCAAUUAGAAACAAGCAUUACGGCGCGGUAAAUUUGAAUCACUCCUCUUGGUUAAAAAACAAACAAUAGCAUGUAGUUUGGUAUUGUUUGACUCCAGAUUAUUAUACUGAUUUCCAGCGCAUGUUCAAUCCACAAACUGUUUUUGUUAGAACGCUUUUUUAUCAGAUAAAAUACCAACGUCGAAUAUCAAAUAAAAUUUCUGUUCUGUUUAUUAUAAUUUUGAGGUUAGAUUAGAAAUAUAUUUUUCUUAUAAGUAGUAAAUAAUGGUAAGUAAUAGUCAAAACAUAUUACUUUCAUUUAAAAUGUAUAAACCUCAAACAAAUAAUUCCACUGCGCAAGUCACAAACUGAAAAUCCGAACAAAAUCCACAAACUCUUUUGACUGUUUCAAGCCAAAGUUUGAAAGUUUUGUUUGAAAGUUUUCAAAUCAAAAUUUACUUUCGUCAGAAAAGUCGACAUAGGGCCGGUUGUUCGAACGCUAAUCAAAAAAUUGAUUAUAAUCAAGUCCUUUAACAACCAUCAAAUAACAAAAUCCGUUGUUCGUACGCCAAUCAGUUGAUUAUAAUCAAUUAUGUUAAUUAUUAUCAUUAUAAUUAACAUAAUUUAUUGAUUAAUGACAUAAUUGAUUAAUUAACAUAACAAUUAUUAACAUAAUUGAUUAACUAAUCAAUUAAUCUCAUAAUUGUAAACAAUUAUGUUUUGAACUGUCAAUGUCAAGUUGACAUUGACAGUAAUUAAAUAUUUGAUAAUGAUCAGUUGAUUCCAAUUUUGAUUAGCGUUCGAACAACCGGCUCUAGUAGUUUCAAACUAGUAAUGUGUAUGAUUGAACGCCAUCAAACAAAUGCGCAUGCUUCUGAUAAUUUCAAACCGUUUGAAACUGAUGCUAGAACAAACCUAUUAUAGUCUAUGAUGCUUACAGUAUUAUUAACCGUUUAUAACUCUGUAACUGUUUUAAAUCGAUAUUUUUAUAAUUUAUUAUUAUUUUAAUCGUUUUUACUUUAAUUUUUUUGCAAACUGUACAAGUAACACAAAUGUUCAAGCCAAUGCAGUUUUCAAACCAACUGUCUACUCCAAAGGUAGUCCUAGUAAAUAUUUAAGUAUCAAAACAGUUUAUAUUUAUUUCAUUUUUGUCAUUUUUAGUUUUAUUAUGUAUUAAAUAUUUACGAAUUGUUAAAGGUUUAUGCGUAUAGCUCAAUAUAUGGUUUUUUUUAUA
This 11868-nucleotide unclassified non-coding RNA is filed under the name Diabrotica virgifera virgifera (western corn rootworm). RNAcentral describes it as "h(+)/Cl(-) exchange transporter 7". Lineage: Eukaryota; Metazoa; Arthropoda; Insecta; Coleoptera; Chrysomelidae. The record is from RNAcentral.